GCGGACGGGUGAAGUAAUGGCCUGGGAAACUGCCCGAUGGAGGGGGAUAACUACUGGAAACGGUAGCUAAUACCGCAUAACGUCUGCGGACCAAAGUGGGGGACCUUCGGGCCUCACGCCAUCGGAUGUGCCCAGGUGGGAUUAGCUAGUAGGUGGGGUAACGGCUCACCUAGGCGACGAUCCCUAGCUGGUCUGAGAGGAUGACCAGCCACACUGGAACUGAGACACGGUCCAGACUCCUACGGGAGGCAGCAGUGGGGAAUAUUGCACAAUGGGCGCAAGCCUGAUGCAGCCAUGCCGCGUGUAUGAAGAAGGCCUUCGGGUUGUAAAGUACUUUCAGUGGGGAGGAAGGCAGUGAGGUUAAUAACCUUGCUGAUUGACGUUACCCGCAGAAGAAGCACCGGCUAACUCCGUGCCAGCAGCCGCGGUAAUACGGAGGGUGCAAGCGUUAAUCGGAAUUACUGGGCGUAAAGCGCACGCAGGCGGUCUGUCAAGUCGGAUGUGAAAUCCCCGGGCUCAACCUGGGAACUGCAUUCGAAACUGGCAGGCUAGAGUCUUGUAGAGGGGGGUAGAAUUCCAGGUGUAGCGGUGAAAUGCGUAGAGAUCUGGAGGAAUACCGGUGGCGAAGGCGGCCCCCUGGACAAAGACUGACGCUCANGUGCGAAAGCGUGNGGAGCAAACANGAUUAGAUACCCUGGUAGUCCNCGCCGUANACGAUGUCGACUUGNANGCUGUGCUCUUGANGCGUGGCUUCC
Molecule: ribosomal RNA, 755 nt
Filed under: Erwinia rhapontici
Lineage: Bacteria; Pseudomonadati; Pseudomonadota; Gammaproteobacteria; Enterobacterales; Erwiniaceae
Description: bacterial SSU rRNA
Rfam family: Bacterial small subunit ribosomal RNA
Source: RNAcentral